CGUGUAGGCGGGAAUGCAAGUCAGAUGUGAAAUACCGAGGCUUAACUUCGGGGCUGCAUCUGAAACUGUGUUUCUUGAGUGUCGGAGAGGAAAGUGGAAUUCCCAGUGUAGCGGUGAAAUGCGUAGAUAUUGGGAGGAACACCAGUGGCGAAGGCGACUUUCUGGACGAUAACUGACGCUGAGGCGCGAAAGCGUGGGGAGCAAACAGGAUUAGAUACCCUGGUAGUCCACGCCGUAAACGAUGGAUACUAGGUGUGGGAGGUAUCGACCCCUUCCGUGCCGCAGUUAACACAAUAAGUAUCCCACCUGGGGAGUACGGCCGCAAGGUUGAA
RNAcentral lists this ribosomal RNA (332 nucleotides) under uncultured bacterium. Its description in RNAcentral is "bacterial SSU rRNA". It matches the Rfam family "Bacterial small subunit ribosomal RNA", at positions 568 to 898 of the family's 1533-position model. The record is from RNAcentral.